GGCAAAACGGUUAGACGAGGGCGGUUCAGUUCAUGUUUCCCCUGAGCAGGACUUCUUGUUGACUUUAUAUUUGUUGACAUGUUAAUUGGCGUAUAUAUUUAUAUAAAAUAGCGCGUGGAAAUUAUUCUGUAGAAUUAAAUAAAAAUAAUCCGUAUUAUAGAGCAUUUGCCCAGCUUUUACGAAGUUGUAACUUGUAAAGGUACAAUCACUUUUAUGAAACAGUAUAAAACACGAAAACCUAAUCAAAAUCUCGCCUAUAUAAUAUAUUUUUACAGUCGAAGGGUCAAAGGCAUAUUGCUAUAAAAUGUCAACACUCACCAUCAUCGUCUUCAAGAUAUAAAUAUUCCAUUCAUAUCUCUAAUUCCUCGCACGAUUCAGACAAAACACUUCCCAUGUACAGCAAAGCACCGCUAUCGUCCAAAACAUCCACGAUUUCUUCCAUAUUCGACGAAUUUUUAGGUUUUCGAGCACAUUUGCAAGUUUUCGAGUGUUUUUGCAAGUUUUCGAAUCACGAUUUCACAGUCCCUCAAAUCAGCGCUGCUCAAAUUACGCGACCGCGCGUACAAAUGAGGGACUGUGGAAGAGUCAG
This is a non-coding RNA of Paramuricea clavata, 589 nucleotides long. The record is from the annotation of a GenBank genome assembly. Lineage: Eukaryota; Metazoa; Cnidaria; Anthozoa; Malacalcyonacea; Plexauridae.